Molecule: long non-coding RNA, 893 nt
Filed under: Equus caballus (horse)
Lineage: Eukaryota; Metazoa; Chordata; Mammalia; Perissodactyla; Equidae
Description: lncRNA (ENSECAG00000029323.3)
Source: RNAcentral
CCAUUUGAACCAAAGAAGUUAGUGAGUGUCUUUCUGCAGCGAUGAGGGGAGGUUUUUCUGAUGUUUGAAGUGAGCUGUGAAGGGAAUUUUCCAGCUCUGGGAGAGACAGUUUUUUCAGGAUCAAGACUCCAGAUGCCAGAGCAUCAAGAAUACAAAAAAUAUGAAAGUACAGUCAACUGAGGGGAACUUCCAAGCCAGUGAAUGACAGCAUCAGGAAGUCAUGAGUGGCAGGUCAUCUUCCUGCCCCUUCUCUGCAUGCACCAAUCCACCAGCAGGUCCGCAAUUUCUGGUAUUAGCCCAAUUUGUGACUGAGGAUUCUCACCUAUGGAUAGACUUCUCCAUGUUCACGUGCUAUCAGGUCCUGGGCUGGGACUUGAACUCAUGCAUUUCUGAGCUCAAAGCACAACCGUCUGCAACAUUCUUCUGCCUCCGAGAGACAAUGUUGUGCUGGUCUUCAUGCUUUGUGAACUCAGAGCCUGAGUUGAAUCCAGAGUCAGCAAACCACCUCCCACAGGAAAAUCUUACCAGCUGCUUGUUGUGUAUGGCCCGUGAGAAAUUACACCCAAGCACUUUUAUCGUGGACCCAUUUAAACAAAGAGGAUAUGAGAAUAACUGACGGCACUUGACAGUACUUCUGGGAAAGUUUCAGAAGAAUGAAUCAUAACCAAGUUCCAAGAAACAGCAGGGCUGGUUGCCAUAAACAACUUCAUGUGUGAAACAAGGAAUGGAUAUUCCCUGAUAUUUUUUAAAUGUCGAGGUGAAAAAUGAAGAUGAUAGUUAUGAAUGUGGGGGUUGAUUCUGAGAAAUAAAAGACUGAAAUGAGGAGUAAAACCAAAACACCUUUUUCCCAAGAUAGAAUAGACUGUGCAGCUGAGUUUUGCAGCAAGAAGAGA